AUUGAACGCUGGCGGCAUGCCUUACACAUGCAAGUCGAACGGCAGCGCGGGAGCAAUCCUGGCGGCGAGUGGCGAACGGGUGAGUAGUGCAUCGGAACGUGCCCAGUUGUGGGGGAUAGCCCGGCGAAAGCCGGAUUAAUACCGCAUACGACCUGAGGGUGAAAGCGGGGGACCUGGCAAAGGGCCUCGCGCGAUUUGAGCGGCCGAUGUCAGAUUAGGUUGUUGGUGGGGUAAAGGCCUACCAAGCCUGCGAUCUGUAGCUAGUCUGAGAGGACGACCAGCCACACUGGGACUGAGACACGGCCCAGACUCCUACGGGAGGCAGCAGUGGGGAAUUUUGGACAAUGGGCGCAAGCCUGAUCCAGCCAUGCCGCGUGCGGGAAGAAGGCCUUCGGGUUGUAAACCGCUUUUGUCGGGGAAGAAACGGCCUGGGAUAAUACCUUGGGCUAAUGACGGUACCCGAAGAAUAAGCACCGGCUAACUACGUGCCAGCCGCCGCCGUAA
RNAcentral lists this ribosomal RNA (504 nucleotides) under uncultured bacterium. Its description in RNAcentral is "partial 16S ribosomal RNA". It matches the Rfam family "Bacterial small subunit ribosomal RNA", at positions 29 to 523 of the family's 1533-position model. The record is from RNAcentral.